AUACUGACCUGGCAGGGGAGAUAACAUGAUCACAAAGGUGGUUUUCCCAGGACAAGGCUUAUCCAUUACACACUGGAUGUGCUGAUCUCUGCGAUUUCCCCAAAUGUUGGAAAUGCAAGUGCAUAAUUUGGAGUCAUGGGGACUGCAUUUGCCCACUCCCCUG
Small nuclear RNA from Sorex araneus (European shrew), 163 nucleotides. RefSeq annotates it as U1 spliceosomal RNA. The transcript has a single exon. The record is from RefSeq and is a predicted model, not a curated record. NCBI's taxonomy places the organism in Eukaryota, Metazoa, Chordata, Mammalia, Eulipotyphla, Soricidae.